UGCUCAAAGCCCUCUACAAAUGGAAGUCAGUGCUACCAAGUCUGCCUAGGAUGAUCUCCUCCCAUCUCUAUCGUUGAAGAUGCUUUCAUUGUGAUGAUACUUUGGCUUGAUGGAGGGAUACUCUCCAACCAUCUGGAUGGAUGUCAGGAGCUCGAGAGGGGUGUGUUGUCGUAGACCAACAGAUCUUGGAAUGGGAGGUGUUGGAAAGUCCCUGCCAAAUAGAUGGCAGGAAGAACAGAGUAGGUGGGAUGGGGGGGAAGAGCGCCUCCAUGUGAGAACAACAUGCUAUAAAUUUCUUACUGGAUGUCAUAAUUGUUAGAAUAUUGGGUAGGGUUGCAUGCAUAGAUUUUAAAAACUUUGGAAGUAGCAGCGAAAAUGAUCUAGGUUAAAUCUUUUAACCCCACAUACAAUAGAUCUAAUCUAUAUCUACUCGAGCUCUAGAUUAAAGGCAUACAUAUAUAGUCUAAAAAUUAAAAUAAUAAUUA
Molecule: long non-coding RNA, 485 nt
Filed under: Elaeis guineensis (African oil palm)
Lineage: Eukaryota; Viridiplantae; Streptophyta; Magnoliopsida; Arecales; Arecaceae
Description: long non-coding RNA (EGUI_LNC052584)
Source: RNAcentral